This is a non-coding RNA of Oryza sativa Japonica Group (Japanese rice), 1072 nucleotides long. The record is from RefSeq and is a predicted model, not a curated record. Lineage: Eukaryota; Viridiplantae; Streptophyta; Magnoliopsida; Poales; Poaceae.
CAUUGACAGUUAAUCCUAGGUCUAUCUAUCGCACUGAGUUUGGCAACCAAACUCCAGCCGAGUUUAGUUCCAAAAUUUUUCUUCAAACUUCCAAUUUUUCUAUUACAUCAAAACUUUCUUACACACACAAACUUUCAACUUUUCUGUCACAUCGUUCCAAUUUCAAUCAAACUUUCAAUUUUAGCGUGAACUAAACACACCCUCCCUCCUGAAUUGCAGCGCAGGAAUCGCUGGGUUUGCUUUAUGCCAAAGAGAAGCCUCGUCAGCCAUCCCUUUGGCCACAUCUACCCAAGAUCUGCACUGCUGAUUGAGAGUAGUAGUAUUCUUUAGAGUAGUAGUAUUCACGUAAACUUUGUGACUUAGGCGCAGUCUCCAUGCCUCUGGUGAUCUUUGUAUUCUUUUUCUGCAGCGAACAUAUAGCUUGUUCUUGAAGAUGAACAGCAUCAGGAGGAUUUCUGGGAUGAGCAAAAGUCUAAGGUCCCCUCUGCAAUUUAUAAAGAGAAAUAUGAGAGCAUAGUUUUCUUCAGGGAGCUGUAAAAGCGUGACAAAGAUAAUAUCGAUUAACCUCCUGGAACACAAGUACUCUGUUGAGUUUGAUGCUAUCCAAGGCGUGAUUCAAAGAUGGAUAAACUCACUGCAGUUUUUGUAUUCCUCUCAAUCUGAAUCUGUGAUGGGUGGCCACACCAGCAAAGCCCCAUCAGGGAAGGAGGAUUUCCUCAUAACAGUGGAUGAGAAGCAUGAUUAUGACAGGCUGAAGACGCCUCCAGUUACACCACUGUUUCUUUCCAUAGAGACGGAAACCAACCAACUCCUCUCAAAUGAUUUUCCAGAAGAAGCAACCUAUCCCUCAACCAGUUAAACCUUCAGCUUCCAGGGUAUACUAUCUGCUCUGUAUUAUCCUACAUCUAAAAAAAAAAUCCCAGAUGCAGCUUUUCUCCUCAACUGAAAACCACAUUUCUAGAACCUGUUUCUUUUUUUUUUUUUUUUUGCCGGGUCGGCGAAGGAGCCGACCAAAUUUCAUUAAGAUUGAAAGGGGAAAGUUAUAGAUUUUACACAACAUUAAACUGUCGAG